AACGAACGCUGGCGGCAGGCCUAACACAUGCAAGUCGAGCGAGCAUUUCGGUGCUAGCGGCGGACGGGUGAGUAACGCGUGGGAACGUGCCCUUUUCUGCGGAAUAGUCCUGGGAAACUGGGGGUAAUACCGCAUACGCCCUUUUGGGGAAAGAUUUAUCGGAGAAGGAUCGGCCCGCGUUGGAUUAGGUAGUUGGUGGGGUAAUGGCCCACCAAGCCGACGAUCCAUAGCUGGUUUGAGAGGAUGAUCAGCCACACUGGGACUGAGACACGGCCCAGACUCCUACGGGAGGCAGCAGUGGGGAAUCUUAGACAAUGGGGGCAACCCUGAUCUAGCCAUGCCGCGUGAGUGAUGAAGGCCUUAGGGUUGUAAAGCUCUUUCAGCUGGGAAGAUAAUGACGGUACCAGCAGAAGAAGUCCCGGCUAACUCCGUG
Molecule: ribosomal RNA, 433 nt
Filed under: uncultured bacterium
Lineage: Bacteria
Description: partial 16S ribosomal RNA
Rfam family: Bacterial small subunit ribosomal RNA
Source: RNAcentral